RNAcentral lists this long non-coding RNA (272 nucleotides) under Pogona vitticeps (central bearded dragon). Its description in RNAcentral is "lncRNA (ENSPVIG00000003572.1)". Lineage: Eukaryota; Metazoa; Chordata; Lepidosauria; Squamata; Agamidae. The record is from RNAcentral.
AAAAGAAGGAAUCGUCUCUUGUAAGCCACAUGAGGAAAAGAAAGAUUAGUUUAAAAGGGAAUGGAGUACAGUAUCAACAAGCUUCAGGAGCAGCCACUAAAAGCAGUUCAUAUAUAAACAGGCUAAAGAACAUUCUGAAGAAUGAAAAACUUGAGUUGAAAAUGAACUGGUACAGUAUCUUCAGUGAUAUUUGUUAAGAAAUUAAAACUAAAACUAAUGAGCAAUUACAAAUAACAUACUUUGAGAAUAAACCUAACCUAGGACUUGAGUCA